AUGGUGUAAAAAAAAAGAAACAACGAUGGAUGCUACGUGUCUAUUAUGGAUUGGUUGAUAAUUUUGAAUGCUCUCCGUUUGUGAGUUUUUUUUUUUUUCAUCAUCAUCCUUUCACCUUCUCUAUUCCGCUUCAUACUCUUUCAUUCCCCUGGUUCUUGGGGAAGAAUAUUUGACGCUCUCUGGUUAGUAGAGAAAAUUGAGAG
RNAcentral lists this non-coding RNA (203 nucleotides) under Entomoneis paludosa. The record is from RNAcentral. Lineage: Eukaryota; Bacillariophyta; Bacillariophyceae; Surirellales; Surirellaceae.